Long non-coding RNA from Branchiostoma floridae (Florida lancelet), 273 nucleotides. RefSeq lists it as uncharacterized. The record is from RefSeq and is a predicted model, not a curated record. Lineage: Eukaryota; Metazoa; Chordata; Leptocardii; Amphioxiformes; Branchiostomatidae. The transcript is spliced from 3 exons.
CUGCAUUUCCCGAAACAAAGAUGUUUUCAACGUUAUUCACCAUCGCAACACGGAUUGUACUGUCAAGUGGUACAUCUGACUCAUGGGUGCCCUCUGGCGAUCUUCCCGUGGACUUCACCGUCACGUUCACAGCGCCGGAAACGGUGUAUAACGUCUGCAAUCGUAACUUUACCCAAAGUGCCAGGACUGUUUCUAUCGCCACCACGGGAGUCGUGAUCACUCCUGGUGAAGCUGCAAACGCUCCAACCAUGACUAUCACAGGUGCAUCGUCAG